UGCAGUCGAGCGAACAGACGAAGUACUUGUACUUCUGACGUUAGCGGCGGACGGGUGAGUAACACGUAAGGAAUCUACCUAUAAGCGGGGGAUAACAUUCGGAAACGGAUGCUAAUACCGCAUAACAUUUACUUCCGCAUGGAAGUAAAUUGAAAGACGGCUCUGCUGUCACUUAUAGAUGACCUUGCGGUGCAUUAGUUAGUUGGUGGGGUAAUGGCCUACCAAGACGAUGAUGCAUAGCCGACCUGAGAGGGUGAUCGGCCACAUUGGGACUGAGACACGGCCCAAACUCCUACGGGAGGCAGCAGUAGGGAAUCUUCCGCAAUGGGCGAAAGCCUGACGGAGCAAUGCCGCGUGAGUGAAGAAGGCCUUCGGGUCGUAAAACUCUGUUAUAAGAGAAGAACAAAUUGUAGAGUAACUGCUACAGUCUUGACGGUAUCUUAUCAGAAAGCCACGGCUAACUACGUGCCAGCAGCCGCGGUAAUACGUAGGUGGCAAGCGUUGUCCGGAUUUAUUGGGCGUAAAGGGAGCGCAGGUGGUUUCUUAAGUCUGAUGUGAAAGCCCACGGCUCAACCGUGGAGGGUCAUUGGAAACUGGGGAACUUGAGUACAGAAGAGGAAUGUGGAACUCCAUGUGUAGCGGUGGAAUGCGUAGAUAUAUGGAAGAACACCAGUGGCGAAGGCGACAUUCUGGUCUGUUACUGACACUGAGGCUCGAAAGCGUGGGGAGCAAACAGGAUUAGAUA
This 745-nucleotide ribosomal RNA is filed under the name Enterococcus sp. X5-CRBM-E14. Its description in RNAcentral is "bacterial SSU rRNA". It matches the Rfam family "Bacterial small subunit ribosomal RNA", at positions 56 to 784 of the family's 1533-position model. The record is from RNAcentral. Lineage: Bacteria; Bacillati; Bacillota; Bacilli; Lactobacillales; Enterococcaceae.